AACCUUCGGGGGACGAUAACGGCGUCGAGCGGCGGACGGGUGAGUAAUGCCUAGGAAAUUGCCCUGAUGUGGGGGAUAACCAUUGGAAACGAUGGCUAAUACCGCAUGAUGCCUACGGGCCAAAGAGGGGGACCUUCGGGCCUCUCGCGUCAGGAUAUGCCUAGGUGGGAUUAGCUAGUUGGUGAGGUAAGGGCUCACCAAGGCGACGAUCCCUAGCUGGUCUGAGAGGAUGAUCAGCCACACUGGAACUGAGACACGGUCCAGACUCCUACGGGAGGCAGCAGUGGGGAAUAUUGCACAAUGGGCGCAAGCCUGAUGCAGCCAUGCCGCGUGUGUGAAGAAGGCCUUCGGGUUGUAAAGCACUUUCAGUCGUGAGGAAGGCGGUGUCGUUAAUAGCUGCAUUGUUUGACGUUAGCGACAGAAGAAGCACCGGCUAACUCCGUGCCAGCAGCCGCGGUAAUACGGAGGGUGCGAGCGUUAAUCGGAAUUACUGGGCGUAAAGCGCAUGCAGGUGGUUUGUUAAGUCAGAUGUGAAAGCCCGGGGCUCAACCUCGGAAUAGCAUUUGAAACUGGCAGACUAGAGUACUGUAGAGGGGGGUAGAAUUUCAGGUGUAGCGGUGAAAUGCGUAGAGAUCUGAAGGAAUACCGGUGGCGAAGGCGGCCCCCUGGACAGAUACUGACACUCAGAUGCGAAAGCGUGGGGAGCAAACAGGAUUAGAU
RNAcentral lists this ribosomal RNA (720 nucleotides) under gamma proteobacterium PM22. RNAcentral describes it as "bacterial SSU rRNA". It matches the Rfam family "Bacterial small subunit ribosomal RNA", at positions 64 to 783 of the family's 1533-position model. Lineage: Bacteria; Pseudomonadati; Pseudomonadota; Gammaproteobacteria. The record is from RNAcentral.